RNAcentral lists this ribosomal RNA (354 nucleotides) under uncultured Stenotrophomonas sp. Its description in RNAcentral is "bacterial SSU rRNA". It matches the Rfam family "Bacterial small subunit ribosomal RNA", at positions 585 to 937 of the family's 1533-position model. Lineage: Bacteria; Pseudomonadati; Pseudomonadota; Gammaproteobacteria; Lysobacterales; Lysobacteraceae. The record is from RNAcentral.
AAGUCCGUUGUGAAAGCCCUGGGCUCAACCUGGGAACUGCAGUGGAUACUGGAUGACUAGAAUGUGGUAGAGGGUAGCGGAAUUCCUGGUGUAGCAGUGAAAUGCGUAGAGAUCAGGAGGAACAUCCAUGGCGAAGGCAGCUACCUGGACCAACAUUGACACUGAGGCACGAAAGCGUGGGGAGCAAACAGGAUUAGAUACCCUGGUAGUCCACGCCCUAAACGAUGCGAACUGGAUGUUGGGUGCAAUUUGNCACGCAGUAUCNAAGCUAACGCGUUAAGUUCGCCGCCUGGGGAGUACGGUCGCAAGACUGAAACUCAAAGGAAUUGACGGGGGCCCGCACAAGCGGUGGAG